Molecule: ribosomal RNA, 476 nt
Filed under: uncultured organism
Description: partial 16S ribosomal RNA
Rfam family: Bacterial small subunit ribosomal RNA
Source: RNAcentral
GUACACUCCUGCGGGAGGCAGCAGUGGGGAAUUUUGGACAAUGGGCGAAAGCCUGAUCCAGCCAUGCCGCGUGCAGGAUGAAGGCCUUCGGGUUGUAAACUGCUUUUGUACGGAACGAAACGGCCUUUUCUAAUAAAGAGGGCUAAUGACGGUACCGUAAGAAUAAGCACCGGCUAACUACGUGCCAGCAGCCGCGGUAAUACGUAGGGUGCAAGCGUUAAUCGGAAUUACUGGGCGUAAAGCGUGCGCAGGCGGUUAUGUAAGACAGUUGUGAAAUCCCCGGGCUCAACCUGGGAACUGCAUCUGUGACUGCAUAGCUAGAGUACGGUAGAGGGGGAUGGAAUUCCGCGUGUAGCAGUGAAAUGCGUAGAUAUGCGGAGGAACACCGAUGGCGAAGGCAAUCCCCUGGACCUGUACUGACGCUCAUGCACGAAAGCGUGGGGAGCAAACAGGAUUAGAUACCCUGGUAGUCCCAU